CCUACGGGAGGCAGCAGUGAGGAAUAUUGGUCAAUGGACGAGAGUCUGAACCAGCCAAGUAGCGUGAAGGAUGACUGCCCUAUGGGUUGUAAACUUCUUUUAUAUGGGAAUAAAAUGUUCCACGUGUGGGAUUUUGUAUGUACCAUAUGAAUAAGGAUCGGCUAACUCCGUGCCAGCAGCUGCGGUAAUACGGAGGAUCCGAGCGUUAUCCGGAUUUAUUGGGUUUAAAGGGAGCGUAGGUGGAUUGUUAAGUCAGUUGUGAAAGUUUGCGGCGCAACCGUAAAAUUGCAGUUGAAACUGGCAGUCUUGAGUACAGUAGAGGUGGGCGGAAUUCGUGGUGUAGCGGUGAAAUGCUUAGAUAUCACGAAGAACUCCGAUUGCGAAGGCAGUUCACUGGACUGCAACUGACACUGAGGCUCGAAAGUGUGGGUAUCAAACAGGAUUAGAUACCCUUGUAGUC
RNAcentral lists this ribosomal RNA (460 nucleotides) under uncultured bacterium. RNAcentral's name for it is "partial 16S ribosomal RNA". It matches the Rfam family "Bacterial small subunit ribosomal RNA", at positions 338 to 795 of the family's 1533-position model. The record is from RNAcentral.